This 22-nucleotide non-coding RNA is filed under the name Arabidopsis thaliana (thale cress). Lineage: Eukaryota; Viridiplantae; Streptophyta; Magnoliopsida; Brassicales; Brassicaceae. The record is from RNAcentral.
UUGAAGGCAUCCUAUUGCAUUG